RNAcentral lists this ribosomal RNA (483 nucleotides) under uncultured bacterium. RNAcentral describes it as "partial 16S ribosomal RNA". It matches the Rfam family "Bacterial small subunit ribosomal RNA", at positions 29 to 506 of the family's 1533-position model. The record is from RNAcentral.
AUUGAACGCCGGCGGCAUGCUUUACACAUGCAAGUCGAACGGCAGCGCGGGCUUCGGCCUGGCGGCGAGUGGCGAACGGGUGAGUAAUACAUCGGAACGUGCCCAGUAGUGGGGGAUAGCUCGGCGAAAGCCGGAUUAAUACCGCAUACGACCUGAGGGUGAAAGCGGGGGAUCUUCGGACCUCGCGCUAUUGGAGCGGCCGAUGGCAGAUUAGCUAGUUGGUGGGGUAAAGGCCUACCAAGGCGACGAUCUGUAGCUGGUCUGAGAGGACGACCAGCCACACUGGGACUGAGACACGGCCCAGACUCCUACGGGAGGCAGCAGUGGGGAAUUUUGGACAAUGGGCGAAAGCCUGAUCCAGCAAUGCCGCGUGUGUGAUGAAGGCCUUCGGGUUGUAAAGCACUUUUGGCGGGAACGAAAAGGACUGUGCCAAUACCACGGUUCGAUGACGGUACCCGCAGAAUGAGCACCGGCUAACUACGU